AAAAGAAGUCAUGCCACUUGACAGUCUUUCCCAUAAGAACCAACCCCAGUACCAGGCAUGAGAAACUUCCUUUGAAUGGCUUGUCAAAGUAGUCCAAGUGACUCCCAAAUAAUAGUCUGUUGCUCUUGGUUGCUUUUCCAAGGUUGAAGGCAAGUCCUGACUGCUUAGGAUACCAUAUACUUAGGACACAGGAGUUGGAUGAUCUGAGCUGCACCUCACCUGAAAGCCUCUUCCCCAGUGACUUCCACAGUACCAGAAACUACUAAGCCAGCUGCAAAGGGAGGGAAGCAAAUAGGUGUGGCUACCACACCUCACCAAAGAAGAUUCUCUUUAUAACAAUUGGAGACCAUCACAGAAAACCACAACUGGACACAAUAGAGAUCACCAGAGAGUAAGAAGCUCAACCCUAAAGGUAACAUCUACAUGACAGUUUCUGCAUCUGUGGUUCAGAGAACAUGGCAGAAGAGGAGGCAGGAAGAUGAUGGGGAUUGUGUGAGAAACAAGACACAGCACAGUGAGAACGGAAGAGCUUCGUCCCUCACUCCUCCUUCAGGGAGCUUCACACCAGCUAGGCAAAGGUCAAGUGUACUUGGUAUGGCUGGAAGACCAUGGCUGACUUUUCAAGAACUGUGCUUUCUCAUUUGACAUUUCACCUUUUGGUAAAGAGAUUUUGAAGGAACCCAAGACCAGAACUGACCUGAAGCAGCCAGCCUGGAAUACUUCUCCUGUCCCACCACCUCUGCCUCAUGAUGCAUCAAGGCCAGAGGCACUUGUGCAUCAUCAGUUGGACUGUGUAUCAGUGAAAAGAAAAUGCUUUGGUGCAUCUGGCCUAGUUCAUCAGUUGGACUGUAUAUCAGAGAAAAGAAAAUGCUUUGGCGCAU
This is a long non-coding RNA of Peromyscus eremicus (cactus mouse), 881 nucleotides long. RefSeq lists it as uncharacterized. NCBI's taxonomy places the organism in Eukaryota, Metazoa, Chordata, Mammalia, Rodentia, Cricetidae. The record is from RefSeq and is a predicted model, not a curated record. The transcript has 3 exons.